GACGAACGCUGGCGGCGUGCUUAACACAUGCAAGUCGAACGGAAAGGCCAUGCUUUUGUGGGGUUCUCGAGUGGCCAACGGGCGAGUAACACGUGAGUACCUUGCCCUUGACUUCAGGACAACUUCAGGAAACUGCGGCUAAUACCGGAAUAGCGCUCCUGAUCCAACGUGGGGGUUGGAAAGGUUCGGCGGUUGGGGAUGGGCUCGCGGCUUAUCCGCUUGAUGGUCGGGUAGUGGCUGAAAAAGGCUUCGACGGGUAGCCGGCCUGAGAGGGUGACUGGCCAAAUUGGGACUGAGAUACGGCCCGGAGUCGUACGGGAGACAGGAGUGGGGGAGAGUGCCUGAUGCGCGGAAGUCUGAUGCAGGAACGCCGCGUGAUGGAUGACGGACUUCGUGUUGUAGAGCACUUAGGGCUGUGACGGAGAGUGAUUGACGGUAAUUGAUGAAGAAGCACCGGCUAACUACGUG
RNAcentral lists this ribosomal RNA (468 nucleotides) under uncultured bacterium. Its description in RNAcentral is "partial 16S ribosomal RNA". It matches the Rfam family "Bacterial small subunit ribosomal RNA", at positions 28 to 507 of the family's 1533-position model. The record is from RNAcentral.